This 19-nucleotide transfer RNA is filed under the name Dasia grisea. Its description in RNAcentral is "partial tRNA-Asx". Lineage: Eukaryota; Metazoa; Chordata; Lepidosauria; Squamata; Scincidae. The record is from RNAcentral.
UCGAGGCCCGUUUGUCCGG